This 64-nucleotide transfer RNA is filed under the name Monochamus sartor urussovii. RNAcentral describes it as "tRNA-Cys". The record is from RNAcentral. Lineage: Eukaryota; Metazoa; Arthropoda; Insecta; Coleoptera; Cerambycidae.
AGUCUUAUAUUCAAAAAAAUGAUUUUAAAUUGCAAAUUUAAAGGUGAUAAAAUGUCUAAGGCUU